Molecule: long non-coding RNA, 565 nt
Filed under: Zea mays
Lineage: Eukaryota; Viridiplantae; Streptophyta; Magnoliopsida; Poales; Poaceae
Description: drought-responsive long non-coding RNA
Source: RNAcentral
UCUGCAACUUUUUUUCCCUAUUCAUAUCAUGAACUUACGGACUGCUUCCAUACAAUCUGAUAGUAGAAACUAUCAGCUCUUGCUGUAUAACUCAACAUUUGAUACUAGAAAUUUCGACUGACUAAUCAUGCUUCAUCAGGUUGACAAGCAGCUUCCGAACAGGAAACGUAAGCGGAGGAUCUGCUACAGUUUUGAGGCAGCUUGUCUGUUGCCAGUUGCCGGGUGCUUCCUCAAGGUCUUGCUCAUGGUUGAUCUCGAAAAUAUGUCUCCCGAAAUAAUCUUGUUUAUCUUCUUCGGUGGUGGCACCUGGUAGAAAAUUUUCCUGGGCAGUCUUAGACAUUAAUUCAACAGUAAAAGCAUAACAUCAUGCAAGUAUACCAAAUACUGAGAGCGUAUCGCAUUGGAUUAUUAGCAGCGCUUUGUUUUUGUCGUCUGGUACCUAUUUUUUGGCUGGCGGUUAUUACAAGAGCGGUCUCAUAUUAUAAAUUAUUAUAUAGGGCGUUCAUUGGUUGUGACGCUGGGAAUUGAGGAAAUAUACAUUGCUUAUACCGUAAAUUUAGAAACA